This 102-nucleotide ribosomal RNA is filed under the name Erinaceus europaeus (western European hedgehog). The record is from RNAcentral. Lineage: Eukaryota; Metazoa; Chordata; Mammalia; Eulipotyphla; Erinaceidae.
GUCUACAGCCAUACCACCCUGAACAUGCCCGAUCUCAUCUGAUCUUGGAUGCUAAGCAGGGUAGGGCCUUGUUAGUACUUGAAUGAAAGACAAUUAAAUAUC